GACAGAAUGGCUUGAGAUUUAGGAUCUGUGUUACCUGAAGUCAAGCGUAGAUGGUCAGUCUGGUUUUUGGUGUGGGUUCCGAGCCAGAGGUGGCAGGGCCAAAUAGUGCUGGCAUCUAAGGGGGCGAUAGAUAAAGAAACCACUUGUAUCUUUUUGUUAUGACUUGCUUGGUUUGCUUUCUGCUUGAGAAUGACAUUUUGAGGUUCCUUGGGAAAUUUCAUACCGUUGUGUUUUUUGUUUUGUUUGGUUUGCAAUUACUUAGGAUGUGCAAACAUCAGACAGGAGCGGGUCCCUCUGUCUCCUGAUGGUAGCACAUCCCGGGCAGCCAGUCAGAGCGCUGUGACUAUUGUGGCGUCACCGUCACAUCCCACUUUAAACAGCUUCUUUUUCCCUUCCACAGGAUUGGAAAGGAACCCGAAUUGAAUACUUCGGCCACCGCAAGCGGGAAGUGGAAUUGUGUGGAACACUUGGUAUCAUGGAGAGAUGGCUUAUACAGUGAGGACUUCACACACAGUCCAUGGUGACCAGGAACGUGCUGAACUGGACGGAGACGAUAUGAUAAUUGGUACCACUUGUCUGCGACAUUGCCACAUAUCAGGACUUCUUUUGUUUUUUUCUGUUAACUCCUGGUUUCCUCUAUCUUCAAGGCUUCCAGUGUUUUCCGAAGGCACAGGAUGAGCGGAAGGGAUGUGGCAUGCAACGAAGAACAAAGACCCAUAAAAAAGAAAACAGCAUACUAUCACCUCAGCUGCCCAAAGACCACAUCUUCAAAUAACCAAUAACUGCAGCCCCAAGCCCUAGUUAGGUGGCAGUGAUAGUUGCAAGUCAGGCAUACAUUUUCCACAGGUUCCAGAAUAUAAUAAUGAUUUAAGAUACCUGCUUCAGCUAUUCCAUUUAUAAAUAUGCUGGUACAUAUCAAAUUAGUAGAAUUUCAAAACCACUGCUUGGAGAAAUUGUUCUGAAUUUAGGUUUGGAGGAUGGGAAAUAUACAGAUUUAUUUCAGCUCUCAAACAUACAAAUUCAUUUCAGUUCUCGAAUCAGAAAAUGGUUAAUGCAUCUUCAGACAAAAAGAAUUCUUUGAAACUUGCAUCUGGUCUAAAGUUUUGAGAGCCAAAUUUCUGCCUAGUGCAAUUUGCAAUGGAUGAAACAGUUCUGGCAAUAAUUGAGUCCUCAGUGGAAAUGGUGACUUGAUAGACUUUGAACAAAGCAGGGUUGCAGAAUAGAGCUUUUCUCAAAUAAUUUGUUGUUUGAGGAGUGUCUCUAGUCUGUACAUUUUAGAAAACCCAAAAUAAUGGUUUCAGUUGGCCAAAGUGUCUGUUACUAGUUAUGUCCUUAUUUAUGGCCUAGGAUAAGAAGUCUCUUCUGGGAAAUUUAAGCAAAUGAUUAGACAAAGGAUAACACAUAUUUUUCUCAGAUGAGUUGAGAAAAGUGAGAAAAUGAAAUGAAUGAUUUUAAAAAUUUCUAGUUAGCUCUGUGUUUUCAUUUUGGGCAACUUUCUAUCUUAACACUUUCAGAAAACUAACUAGGAAGGCAGAAGGCUAAUGAUAAAAUUCAAAUCCUACUUGUGAUUAUUUAUUUAUCUGUACUUAAUGAAAUAAAGCACUUCCAGCUUGGACA
This is a long non-coding RNA of Vulpes vulpes (red fox), 1617 nucleotides long. Lineage: Eukaryota; Metazoa; Chordata; Mammalia; Carnivora; Canidae. The record is from Ensembl.